Molecule: unclassified non-coding RNA, 253 nt
Filed under: uncultured cyanobacterium
Lineage: Bacteria; Bacillati; Cyanobacteriota
Description: contains 16S-23S intergenic spacer region
Rfam family: Bacterial small subunit ribosomal RNA
Source: RNAcentral
GACGUAGGAUGCAAGCGUUGUCCGGAAUUAUUGGGCGUAAAGCGUACGUAGGCGGUUUCUUAAGUCUGGGGUUAAAGACCGAGGCUCAACCUCGGGAGUGCCCUGGAAACUGAGAGACUGGAGGACGGCAGAGGAAAGUGGAAUUCCCGGUGUAGCGGUGAAAUGCGUAGAUAUUGGGAGGAACACCAGUGGCGAAAGCGGCUUUCUGGGCCGUUCCUGACGCUGAGGUACGAAAGCGUGGGGAGCAAACAGG